Molecule: ribosomal RNA, 253 nt
Filed under: uncultured bacterium
Lineage: Bacteria
Description: partial 16S ribosomal RNA
Rfam family: Bacterial small subunit ribosomal RNA
Source: RNAcentral
UACGAAGGGGGCUAGCGUUGCUCGGAAUCACUGGGCGUAAAGCGCACGUAGGCGGCUUACUAAGUCAGGGGUGAAAUCCUGGAGCUCAACUCCAGAACUGCCUUUGAUACUGGUAAGCUCGAGUCCGGGAGAGGUGAGUGGAACUGCGAGUGUAGAGGUGAAAUUCGUAGAUAUUCGCAAGAACACCAGUGGCGAAGGCGGCUCACUGGUCCGGUUCUGACGCUGAGGCGCGAAAGCGUGGGGAGCAAACAGG